This 109-nucleotide non-coding RNA is filed under the name Lotharella globosa. Lineage: Eukaryota; Cercozoa; Chlorarachniophyceae. The record is from RNAcentral.
UGUUCGAGCGAACAUUGACGCUAGAGUUAUAUGAGGGAAAGAACCAAACAAAAAAAAACUAGCAAAAACAAAAAAACAAAACAAAAAAGCGAAAAACGGGCGGGGGGUU